AUCACUUCUUGGCUUUUGGCUGAGAUCAAGUGUCAUAUACAUUCCAGUCAAUUUACUAUCUGAUCAGCCCUCUAUCUGAGGACAACAUGUAGAAUGGAGUUUUAGAAACAGGAAAUGGGAUAAGAGCUGGCUCUGCCCAUUUUAUGAAUGGACCCCGUAUUUUAUUACUUCCCAGAAUGGUGUACAAAAA
RNAcentral lists this small nuclear RNA (190 nucleotides) under Castor canadensis (American beaver). RNAcentral's name for it is "U2 spliceosomal RNA (ENSCCNG00000012913.1)". It matches the Rfam family "U2 spliceosomal RNA". From Rfam's summary of the family: U2 is a small nuclear RNA (snRNA) component of the spliceosome (involved in pre-mRNA splicing). Complementary binding between U2 snRNA (in an area lying towards the 5' end but 3' to hairpin I) and the branchpoint sequence (BPS) of the intron results the bulging out of an unpaired adenosine, on the BPS, which initiates a nucleophilic attack at the intronic 5' splice site, thus starting the first of two transesterification reactions that mediate splicing. Lineage: Eukaryota; Metazoa; Chordata; Mammalia; Rodentia; Castoridae. The record is from Rfam by way of RNAcentral.